CCCGCUCCUCCAGCGGGCUCCCCGGGCUGGGCUGGGCUGACCGAGCCGCCCUGCCCGCCGCCGCCCCUCACCGUGUAGUAGGAGAGGAGCCCGGCGUUGUAGUCCAGCACGAACCAGCGGUACUGCCAGCCCUUCAUCACGUUGGUCCAUUUGCUCAGCGGGCCCUCCAUGAUAGACGCCAUCUUAGGCACCGAGCCGCGCGCGCCCCGCCCGUGCGGUGAGGGGAGCACAGGGCACAGGCACGGCGGCGGCCGGCAGAGGAGGGGCGGGGCACGCAGCGAGGGGGCGGGGGCAAGGGCUCGCUGCCCCUCCCCAGCGGGCGGGGCUAACGGCUGCCGGGCAGGCGGGGCGCUGUGAGGAGGCGGCCCCCAGGGGGGGGGCGGGGUCUCCUCAGGGCUGUGGGGAGGGAGGGAAGGGCGCGACGUCGCGUUUCGGUCGCUGAGUUGGGCGUUUUUCUGUCAGAUAGAAUAAAUGGUGCUGCUGCCUGUGGUGGUGUGGUUGUCUCUGAGCCCCUCUGCCUGCACAAAGCUCCCCUCUGCCCCUCAGGGCUCUCCAGUCAACGCCAAGGUUCAGGGCGUCCCCUGAAGGGGCUCCGUGUCCAGGGCGUGUUAAAAACAUCCAGGGCUUGAGGUGAAAAUCGCAGUCUCGUUUGGCACUGAAGUAACCUUUUAUGGGCAAGGCUCAUUUAAAUGGGACACAGCUUUCCUGCGGGCCGAUCCAAGAAUGUGGAAUGAAUUCCCCAGGAGCUAUGGACAAUCGUAAAUCUCUGGCUAAAUUAGGGUGCUUACUGUCAUCUGAGAGGAUUACAUAUUACAGAGAUCAACAGAGCCAAGCAGAAAGCAGCAGCUGUUACCUGGUGCUGCCCUUGUUCUGCUCCAUCACUGCUCCACCAGCUGCAAAUCUUGUCCAGCCUCAUUCUCUUGCCACACCAAGGCCUCAAGUAAGUAAUUUUGCUGGGGUGUCCUAGCCACAAGGCUCUACAAUGCCCAUUAAGUGCCCUUCAAAGUACUCAGACUGUCCCAGCAAGAAUGUAGUGGGAAACCUCAGAUAUGCCCAAUCCUUACUGUGUUUUCUGGGACUUCUCAACUUCCACCCUACUUUUUUCAUUUGGUCUAUUUUCUUUACCUGUGUCAAAGCUUGUCCAGUGAAUUGCAUCUGUUGUUUUUUUUUGUUUUGUUUUCUUGUUUUUGUUUUUUGGUCAUUGCAGUUUAAUUGUGUAUGGUUUCUAGCCAAGAGGAAGACACUGCUGAUUUAGGAUAAAUACCAGUGGACCAGAGUAGAGGGACCGAGAAGCAGGAGUAUACCAAAGGAAAGUCUGAUGCUUUGAGGGCGAAAACGCUUUUGUAUUGUAAAUUUGCCUGAAAUUAUAGCUGAGCUAACUUUGAAGAACCUCGGUGCUGGCUGAA
Molecule: long non-coding RNA, 1406 nt
Filed under: Anas platyrhynchos platyrhynchos (common mallard)
Lineage: Eukaryota; Metazoa; Chordata; Aves; Anseriformes; Anatidae
Description: lncRNA (ENSAPLG00000023499.1)
Source: RNAcentral